Molecule: ribosomal RNA, 430 nt
Filed under: uncultured bacterium
Lineage: Bacteria
Description: partial 16S ribosomal RNA
Rfam family: Bacterial small subunit ribosomal RNA
Source: RNAcentral
GAACGCUGGCGGCAGGCCUAACACAUGCAAGUCGACCGAACUCUUCGGAGUUAGUGGCGGACGGGUGAGUAACACGUGGGAACGUGCCUUUAGGUUCGGAAUAACUCAGGGAAACUUGUGCUAAUACAGAAUGUGCCCUUCGGGGGAAAGAUUUAUCGCCUUUAGAGCGGCCCGCGUCUGAUUAGCUAGUUGGUGAGGUAAAGGCUCACCAAGGCGACGAUCAGUAGCUGGUCUGAGAGGAUGAUCAGCCACAUUGGGACUGAGACACGGCCCAAACUCCUACGGGAGGCAGCAGUGGGGAAUCUUGCGCAAUGGGCGAAAGCCUGACGCAGCCAUGCCGCGUGAAUGAUGAAGGUCUUAGGAUUGUAAAAUUCUUUCAACGGGGACGAUAAUGACGGUACCCGGAGAAGAAGCCCCGGCUAACUUCGUG